AUACGUAGGGAGCGAGCGUUGUCCGGAAUUACUGGGUGUAAAGGGAGCGUAGGCGGGAGUGCAAGUCAGAUGUGAAAUACAUGGGCUCAACCCAUGGGCUGCAUUUGAAACUGCAUUUCUUGAGUGAAGUAGAGGUAAGCGGAAUUCCUGGUGUAGCGGUGAAAUGCGUAGAUAUCAGGAGGAACACCGGUGGCGAAGGCGGCUUACUGGGCUUUUACUGACGCUGAGGCUCGAAAGCGUGGGGAGCAAACAGGAUUAGAUACCCUGGUAGUCCACGCUGUAAACGAUGAAUACUAGGUGUGGGGGGACUGACCCCCUCCGUGCCGGAGUUAACACAUUAAGUAUUCCACCUGGGGAGUACGGCCGCAAGGUUGAAACUCAAAUGAAUUGACGGGG
This 396-nucleotide ribosomal RNA is filed under the name uncultured bacterium. RNAcentral describes it as "partial 16S ribosomal RNA". It matches the Rfam family "Bacterial small subunit ribosomal RNA", at positions 523 to 918 of the family's 1533-position model. The record is from RNAcentral.